UUUUUUUUAAGCUGAAAAGACCUAAAGGAAGCAGUCAGCCCAGUCUCGUUUGUGGAGAGGUAUUCAUUUAGAAACAGAGAAAUAAGAAAGCUGAGGAGGGAGACAUUUGAAGUGAUAACACUGUCCUUCUCCAUCAAUCAUAAGGACUCCGCUCUUUAACUUUUUAUCCCCAGACCCAGUGUUUACAAAGUGAAAGUGCAACCAGAUGAUCUCUCACUCCUAACAUCCCAUUUUCAGACAGUUCCCAAACCUGGAUGAACUGCUGAACAUUCGGCAGAACACACCACAAAACAUCCUACCGGUUUUUGAUUAUUCGGACGUUUUGCUGAGCGGCCGAGCCGGCGCACUCCUGAAGCUUAGACAACGCGGAUUCCAUACGGCGCUGCUUAGCAUCCAUCUGGCGAAUCUCUGCUCUCUGCCCAACAAAACGGAUGAACUUCUUCUGCUCUCCCGGACAAAUAAGGACUUUUCAAACUCCGCUGCUAUUAUGAUUCACGGAAACCUGGCUGAAUGACGUGAUACCGGACGACACGCUCAAUCUGCCAGGAUAUCAGUCAUUUAGAGUGGAUCGCGACACAGAAUCAACGGGGAAUCAACACCCGGACUCUGUUUUAAUCAUUCUUGGGGAUUUUAACAAAGCAAAUCUCUCCCGUGAACUGCCAAAAUACAGUCAGUAUGUUACAUGUCCCACCAGAGACUGUAAUUAUAAUAAUAAUAUUGGAUCACUGUUACACCACAAUAAGGAAUGCAUAUCACUCUUUCCCACGGGCAGCUUUGGGACUCUCUGAUCACUGUUUGGUUCAACUUAUACCGACCUACAGGCAGAAACUGAAAACAGCUAAACCUGUAUUAAAGACUACAAAAGGUCUAAUGAAACAGAGUAGGUUUUACAAGCCUGUUUCGAAUGGACUGAUUGGGGCAUUUUUAAAGCUGCUGUAUACGAUCUGGAUGAACUCACAUAGACUGUAACUUCAUAUAUCAGUUUCUGUGAGGAUAUAUGCAUUCCUACCGGAACUUAUUUAACAUUCAACAAUGAUAAGCCAUGGUUUACAGCAAAACUCACAACAGCAAGUCUUGUACAGUCAGGCCAGGAACACACUGAAUAAGGAGAUUAGAGUGGCUAUAAGGACCUACGCAAAAAGGGUAAAAGAUCAACUCACUUCAAACGAACCAGCUUCAGUGUAGAAAGGUCUGAAAGCCAUCACAAACUACAAGGCACCGUCCCCCAGCACUGAGGCAAACCAACGACUUGCUGUCUAAAGACCCCUCUGUCAAGCUUCUGAAGUUUGCAGAUAACACGACACUCAUCGGCCUCAUUCAGGAUGUGAGGUUAAAGAGUUGGCUGUAUGGUGCAGUCAUAACAACCUGGAGCUCAACAUGCUCAAAACUGUAGAGAUGAUUGUAGACUUCAGGAGGAAAAAAUCACUCUGGAUCCCUCACAUCCAAGGCAUCCCCUCUUUGAACUUUUGCCAUCUGACCGGCGCUACAGAGCCACAAACACCAGGACAACCAGGCACAAGAACAGUUUUUCCCCCUGGCAAUCCACCUUAUGAACAGUUAAG
Long non-coding RNA from Labeo rohita (rohu), 1562 nucleotides. RefSeq lists it as uncharacterized. Lineage: Eukaryota; Metazoa; Chordata; Actinopteri; Cypriniformes; Cyprinidae. The record is from RefSeq and is a predicted model, not a curated record. The transcript is spliced from 3 exons.